This is an RNA transcript of Patiria miniata (bat star), 3011 nucleotides long. It is a transcript of the gene named NADPH oxidase 1-like, with no coding region annotated. The record is from RefSeq and is a predicted model, not a curated record. The transcript has 15 exons. NCBI's taxonomy places the organism in Eukaryota, Metazoa, Echinodermata, Asteroidea, Valvatida, Asterinidae.
CACUUCCUAUUUUAUCUUGUCAACAAUCGUGACCGUGAAAACGCAAUUAGCCAAUAUAAAACUUUCUUGGCAUUUGUUUUACUGGACGACAAUUUUCUCAUCGCAUCCAUCGAAUUGAUUAAUCAGUUGAUGGACUCAAAGCUGGGAUAAUUUGAAGAAGAUCAGUUGAAUACUUAUGACUGAUUCGAACUUGUGAAGUACGUUUGUGUUGUCCCGCCUCCGCCGCCUAUACACAUGAUACAUAAUUUACGUCAUUGUUGCUGAUGUGUUUAGUUUGUUUACAUUCCAUUUCCAGUUUUGACUUAGGAAUUGUUCGAAAGAUUGCCCAAAAUGAGUGAUCGACUUAUCAACGAAGGAGUGAAAUGGAUGUUGGUGUUUUUGUGGCUUCUGGCCAAUCUAGUCACAUGGUUGGCGUCCUACUUGACCUACGCCAACUCAGAUGAAUUCUUCUACAUGCGGCAUCUCAUGGGGGCGAGUCUUCCCGUUGCUAGGGCGAGUGCUACAUGUCUCAACCUCAACAGUAUGAUGAUCCUGCUCCCAGUCUGUCGCAACAUCAUUUCCUUCUUCAGAGGAUCUUGUGAGACAAAUAGGUAUUAUCGUCGUAAUCUGAGACGUCAGCUUGACAAGAACAUCACCUUCCACAAAGUGGUUGCCUACUUGGUUGUGUUCUUCACCAUCAUCCACGUCGUUAGUCAUUGUUUCAAUUCCCAAAACCUCUACAACUCAGUCACUAGUGAAUCGGGACCACUGGCUGCACUCUUGAGCUUAAUACGGACAGAAUCAGGAAAACCCCUCAAUCCUAUCCAAGUCCUCAAUAAGAGUCCGUAUGGUCUGACUCUUAUUGACAAGGUGUUGCAGUUGCUUCCUGGAUGGACCGGUGCCGUCCUUACAUUAGUCCUCAUUGUCAUGUUUUCAUCUUCAACAGAAUUUAUCAGACGAUCUUACUUUGAGACGUUCUGGUUUACGCAUCACCUCUUUUUCCUGUAUUUUGCCAUGAUUCUGGCCCACGGAGCGCAAGGCAUUGUGAGCCGACAGUCUAAUGUUGCUGUUCACGAUCCAAAGAAGUGUUCAGAAACGUUUGCCCAGUGGCCGACUGACGAGUGUCCUGAUCCGACGUUUGUUAACGGCUCGGCAGGAACUUGGAAGUGGCUUCUUUUCCCGAUCGUGUGCUACAUCUUUGAGAGGAUAUUUCGUAUCUACAGAGCUUGGCAAACCAUUAUCAUUACCAAGGUUGUCCAGCAUCCGUCCAGCGUGAUUGAGCUUCAGAUGAAGAAGCAAGGCUUCAAGAUGCUGCCAGGCCAGUAUGUCUUCCUCCUCUGCCCGUCCAUAUCAAGAUUCCAGUGGCACCCCUUCACACUGACCUCUUCACCUGAGGAGGAUUAUCUGAGCGUUCACAUCCGUACCGUCGGUGAUUGGACCAAUAAGCUGCGAGAAAAAGUGGGAGCAGAUGAAGGGGAACAGUCCGUAGCAAAGCUGCCCAGCAUCGCCAUAGAUGGUCCGUUUGGCACAGCUAGCAUUGACAUCUUCGAGUAUGAAGUUGGGAUUUGCAUCGGAGCAGGAAUUGGCGUCACCCCGUUUGCCUCCAUUCUCAAAUCCAUCUCCCACAAAGUCCUCGACCCAGAAAAUGAGCUGAAACUCAAGAAGGUCUAUUUCUUCUGGAUUUGCCGAGACACCAACGCCUUUGAGUGGUUCACUGAGAUGUUGUCAUCAUUGGAGUCGAUGCUGAUCGAGAACGGUCAGGGAGAUUUUCUCGAGUAUCACAUUUAUUUGAGUCGAGGGUGGAGUCACAGACAAGCCAAGAACAUUUACUUGCAAGAGGAACAAGCAGUUGAUGCGAUCACCGGCCUGAGACAGAAGACGAACUACGGCCGGCCCAAGUGGGACGAAACCUUCAAGAUGCUCGCUGAAACCCACCCAGCCGUUCAUGCAGGAGUGUUCUUUUGUGGGCCCAAGAAUCUUUCUACUGUGCUACACAAGUGUUGCAAUCGUUACUCUAGCUUCAAACAAGACGGAUGUCGUUUCUUCUACAACAAAGAAAACUUCUAAGCAACUGAACAGCUUCACAGACAGGAAAAGAUUUGUAUCUUUUGCCGAAACCUAAAAUGGAAUUGUCUUUCAAAACUUAUAUAUGCCAAUUAUAGCAAAAUUAAAUGGGAGUACUAAAUUAAAGAUGAUUACCAUGAUUUCAAAUUAACUUUUGAUGUAACUGACUUUGACCAGUAUCAUAUAAAGUGUAAGCAACUACAAAAUAAUGUACGUGUAUUGAGCAUUAAGAUAGAACUGUUUCUACAUUUUGAAGGAACAGGAAUUGACUAUUAAAAUGAUUAGAUGCAGUUAUUGAUGAAUGUGCUAUUUAUUUCAUAACGAUGCCUGCUUAUAUAGCUUUAUAUUGUAUGUGCUACAGUGAAUCAUUAUUUCUUAAUUAGUAUUUUUGGGAAAGGUUUGUAAAUGUUGUACUAAUUUUACUAAUAAAAGUGCCUCAUUAUUUUUAAUUGAAUACUUGUAUACAUCUUGGAUACUGACAUUUUUAAAAUCGUUUUUAAAAUCUGUGCGGCAGCACAGAAAAAAAAUCUAACUUAACAGAUACAAUGCAUGACAAUCAUAGAAACAGUAAAUAGUACUUGAGAAAGCUGACCAAACAAUAUUAAAAUGAUUUUUGUCUGAAUAUAAAAUGACAUUGACAGAAUCAUACCGUACAUUGUACAUUCCAUUUAAUAUGAACAUGUAUCCCGAGUAUUUUUUAACAUUUGAUAUUAACUGUUUUAUCAUUUGCGACUUUUGACUUCUUGUAUAAACACUUAUUUAUCUACAGUGUAUUUUAUUGACAUAUUUGUACCAGUAAAAGUUUUAUCUGUCAAGUGGAAAUGUAUUCUACAUAAAGGCCAUGUACUUGUACUGCUUUUUGGUGUGCUUAUUAAAGGGGUAUUAUAGUUAGACGCUGGAUUUUGUGUACGUCAGAUUGUCAAUUUGAUUAAAAUUAUGUUGAUUGUAAACAGGAUGGGAUCAUUGAA